RNAcentral lists this ribosomal RNA (408 nucleotides) under uncultured bacterium. Its description in RNAcentral is "partial 16S ribosomal RNA". It matches the Rfam family "Bacterial small subunit ribosomal RNA", at positions 28 to 526 of the family's 1533-position model. The record is from RNAcentral.
GACGAACGCUGGCGGCGUGCUUAACACAUGCAAGUCGAACGAAGUGGCGAACGGGUGAGUAACUCGUAAUCCACCUGCCCUUCAGAGGGGUACAACAGUUGGAAACGACUGCUAAUACCGCAUACUUAAGGAGGGGCUUGCGUCUGCUUAGUUAGUUGGUGGGGUUACGGCCCACCAAGGCGAUGAUCAGUAGCCGGUCGUAAUGGGUGGACGGCCACAGUGGGACUGAGACACGGCCCAGAAUCCUACGGGAGGCAGCAGUGGGGAAUCUUCCGCAAUGGACGAAAGUCUGACGGAGCAACGCCGCGUGAGUGAUGACGGCCUUCGGGUUGUAAAGCUCUGUUAAUCGGGACGCGGUACCGGAAUAGAAAGCCACGGCUAACUACGUGCCAGCAGCCGCGGUAAUAC